Molecule: transfer RNA, 73 nt
Filed under: Spirochaetales bacterium
Lineage: Bacteria; Pseudomonadati; Spirochaetota; Spirochaetia; Spirochaetales
Description: tRNA-Thr
Rfam family: tRNA
About the family: Transfer RNA (tRNA) molecules are approximately 80 nucleotides in length. Their secondary structure includes four short double-helical elements and three loops (D, anti-codon, and T loops).
Source: RNAcentral
GCCUCUAUAGCUCAGUUGGUAGAGCACAUCCUCGGUAAGGAUGAGGUCGUCAGUUCAAUCCUGAUUGGAGGCU